GACAUAAGCCUGACUCAGAAGGUAUUAAUCUGUGUGGGAUAAAGGAGGAAUCCAAUGUUCUGUGAAUGCGCUGUCUGCUUAAUAUAAAAGUGUGCUCUGGUCCCCUUGGCUGGAAGCUGUGGACAAGAUCACAUCACUUUAUAAGCUCAAACUCUAAUCAGAAGAAACCUCAGAAGCAAAGUAUGUCAGUGUUAGAGGUGACUCCAGACGCACAUCAGAGGACUACAGGAAUCGCCACAGCUUGUGAUUUUAAAAGUUAAAGGAGGAUCAAAGUCUCAUCAAUUGUCCAUCACAGAAGUAAAAGUUCCACCACUGAGCCACUUUCGGGACAGUGCCUCUGCUCCUUCAUUUUUCCUGCGAUGAUUUAUUGCAUGGAGUGGACCAACUCAGGUAUCAAAAAGUACAUAUACUUCACAACUGAAUGUAAAUGAUUCUGUAUCAAAAUAUUUGAAUGAUCAACUGAUAAAAGUUUGUGAAAA
Molecule: long non-coding RNA, 479 nt
Organism: Zonotrichia leucophrys gambelii
Lineage: Eukaryota; Metazoa; Chordata; Aves; Passeriformes; Passerellidae
Exons: 3
Source: RefSeq, a predicted model, not a curated record